This 407-nucleotide long non-coding RNA is filed under the name Setaria viridis. Its description in RNAcentral is "long non-coding RNA (SVIR_LNC002544)". Lineage: Eukaryota; Viridiplantae; Streptophyta; Magnoliopsida; Poales; Poaceae. The record is from RNAcentral.
GAAGGAGAUGAUGGAGAAAAGACGCAGAGAGGAGGCUGAAGAAAAGGAGCACAAUGAAGAGGAGGAAAGGAGGCGUGUUGCUACGUACAGGGAGGGGAGAGAGAAGAAGCUUGAGCGUGCGCGCCGAGCGAAAGCAGCGAUGGAGGAGAAUCCCGAUGCCCUGAGGAAGGGAAAGUGGCCUCAUUGCACUCAGUACUCUCCAUUACUUGCUAGUUCUAUGGACUUUUCAUUGUGUUAUCAUGUAAUGCACUUUAAGUAUGGGCAUGCUUAGGUCAUGUACUGCAAUGCGUAGACAUAUUGUCAUGUAAUGCACUUUAACUUGGACUAGUUUAUUGUUUAGUUGUUAGCAGUAGAGGGGUGAAGAAACAAGAUCUGCUUUGCACACAUCUUUGGCUGCACUCAACACA